Lutra lutra (Eurasian river otter) is the source of this 685-nucleotide long non-coding RNA. RefSeq lists it as uncharacterized. NCBI's taxonomy places the organism in Eukaryota, Metazoa, Chordata, Mammalia, Carnivora, Mustelidae. The record is from RefSeq and is a predicted model, not a curated record. The transcript has 3 exons.
CUAGGACUGCAGAUGGCUGUGCAGAUGGUUUAGCUAUGUUGGACUUCUUGCAAAGGAGAACGAAGUCUUUAUUCUGUUUGAGGAUUUCUGGGUCUAGAGGACCUAUUUCCAACCACUGAAAUGCUUCCUCCAGGAGAUAUGAAGAACCUCACUGAAACUUAGGGUAUGGCUGCUAUCCAGUGACUUCCUUAAGCCAAGGGGACAGCAGGUGAAGAAAGGAGGUGCCACACUGCCAGUGGUGCCUCAUGUGAUCAUCAGAACUUUAGCCAGAGGAUGCACGUGGGCAGAGCCUAGACUAAGGGCCAAAGACAACAAGCCCCAGCCAAGAACAGAGACAUGAAGGCAUCAACAGUCACUGCUGCUCCAAACACAGCCAUGGUAGUGCCUAAGGAGUCCCUGGAGUGACCGAGAGUUCCCGUUCCCUUGAGUCAAGAGUCCUAAGCCUUGGAGAGGUCAGUAGGCUUAAAUGGACACAGCUGAUGUUGUGUCUCUAUUGUUGCAUCUUGACACUUGAUGUUGUACAAGUAGUUAAGCAUGAGAAGUCUCACACUCAGAUCUCUUACAUUCUCCACCAGAAGUUUUGAAGCCUGGUAGGACACGGACAUCCCUCUCACCACUGUUUUAUCCCUAAUGUCUAGAUCAUGCCUGGCACCACUAAGUGCUAAACAAAUAUUGACAAAACGAA